Long non-coding RNA from Hyla sarda, 465 nucleotides. RefSeq lists it as uncharacterized. NCBI's taxonomy places the organism in Eukaryota, Metazoa, Chordata, Amphibia, Anura, Hylidae. The record is from RefSeq and is a predicted model, not a curated record. The transcript has 3 exons.
AGCUUUUUGCCCAUUUAGCAAAUCACUGGCUGAGCAGGGUAGAGAAAAGAGCAAUGGGGACUCAGAGUCACUGGAAAAGGAGCUGUGAGGGACCAGAAUGUGCUAACAAUGAUAAUAAAGAAGUUACAUGAGCGCUGCUCAUCUAAGUGGCCUAGAAGAGUCAAGAUCGGAGGCACAACUGGCAGAUAUCUCAAGGAGGCAAUGUGCUGAGAUUCAGGAGAAUAGCAAUGCAAAGAAGGUGUCGGCAUGCCUCCAGCCAAACAGAUGCAUCUGAAGCAUGUCACACUUCACUGCUGAUAUAUAAAGAACAUACAUAUCUUACAUGGAGAUGGAUGGAAUCUAUGUUUAAUUUAUAAAAAAUGAAGCAAUGGGAGAAUUUGUGCUUCCAGCCUUGGCCAGUACAUUGCAACUUCUACUGGUUAUGCACCUAAGGGGGUCAUCUGUCAAGGUUAGUUAGUUGUUCUU